RNAcentral lists this unclassified non-coding RNA (348 nucleotides) under soil metagenome. Its description in RNAcentral is "partial contains 5.8S ribosomal RNA, internal transcribed spacer 2, and large subunit ribosomal RNA". The stretch from base 1 to 120 matches the Rfam family "5.8S ribosomal RNA", at positions 35 to 154 of the family's 154-position model. The record is from RNAcentral.
GAUGAAGAACGCAGCGAAAUGCGAUAAGUAAUGUGAAUUGCAGAAUUCAGUGAAUCAUCGAAUCUUUGAACGCACAUUGCGCCCGCCAGUAUUCUGGCGGGCAUGCCUGUCCGAGCGUCAUUUCAACCCUCGAACCCCUCCGGGGGGUCGGCGUUGGGGAUCGGCCCCUCACCGGGCCGCCCCCGAAAUCCAGUGGCGGUCUCGCCGCAGCCUCUCCUGCGCAGUAGUUUGCACACUCGCACCGGGAGCGCGGCGCGGCCACAGCCGUAAAACACCCCAAACUCUGAAAUGUUGACCUCGGAUCAGGUAGGAAUACCCGCUGAACUUAAGCAUAUCAAUAAGCGAGGA